Molecule: ribosomal RNA, 492 nt
Filed under: uncultured bacterium
Lineage: Bacteria
Description: partial 16S ribosomal RNA
Rfam family: Bacterial small subunit ribosomal RNA
Source: RNAcentral
AGUGAACGCUGGCGGUAGGCCUAACACAUGCAAGUCGAACGGCAGCACAGUAAGAGCUUGCUCUUACGGGUGGCGAGUGGCGGACGGGUGAGGAAUACAUCGGAAUCUACUUUUUCGUGGGGGAUAACGUAGGGAAAGUUACGCUAAUACCGCAUACGACCUACGGGAGAGAGCAGGGGAUCUUCGGACCUUGCGCGACUGAAUGAGCCGAUGUCGGAUUAGCUAGUUGGCGGGGUAAAGGCCCACCAAGCCGACGAUCCGUAGCUGGUCUGAGAGGAUGAUCAGCCACACUGGAACUGAGACACGGUCCAGACUCCUACGGGAGGCAGCAGUGGGGAAUAUUGGACAAUGGGCGCAAGCCUGAUCCAGCCAUACCGCGUGAGUGAAGAAGGCCUUCGGGUUGUAAAGCCCUUUUGUUGGGAAAGAAAAGCAGCAGGUUAAUACCCCGCUGUUCUGACGGUACCCAAAGAAUAAGCACCGGCUAACUUCGUG